This 208-nucleotide ribosomal RNA is filed under the name uncultured bacterium. RNAcentral's name for it is "partial 16S ribosomal RNA". It matches the Rfam family "Bacterial small subunit ribosomal RNA", at positions 568 to 774 of the family's 1533-position model. The record is from RNAcentral.
UGCGUAGGUGGUCUAUUAAGUUGGAUGUGAAACCCCCCGGGCUUAACCUGGGAACUGCAUCCAAUACUGGAAGACUAGAGUGCAGGAGAGGAAAGCGGAAUUCCUAGUGUAGCGGUGAAAUGCGUAGAUAUUAGGAGGAACACCAGUGGCGAAGGCGGCUUUCUGGACUGUAACUGACACUGAGGCACGAAAGCGUGGGUAGCAAACA